This 921-nucleotide ribosomal RNA is filed under the name uncultured Bacteroidota bacterium. RNAcentral describes it as "bacterial SSU rRNA". It matches the Rfam family "Bacterial small subunit ribosomal RNA", at positions 1 to 916 of the family's 1533-position model. The record is from RNAcentral. Lineage: Bacteria; Pseudomonadati; Bacteroidota.
GGAUCCAGACUUUGAUUCUGGCUCAGGAUGAACGCUAGCUACAGGCUUAACACAUGCAAGUCGCGGGGCAGCAUGUCGGUUGCUUGCAACCGAUGAUGGCGACCGGCGCACGGGUGAGUAACGCGUAUCCAACCUGCCCUUCACCACGGAAUAAUCCAGUGAAAAUUGGUCUAAUACCGUAUGAGGUCAUACGAUGGCAUCAGAAUAUGACGAAAGGUUUGGCAGUGAAGGAUGGGGAUGCGUCUGAUUAGCUUGUUGGUGAGGUAACGGCUCACCAAGGCGACGAUCAGUAGGGGUUCUGAGAGGAAGGUCCCCCACAUUGGAACUGAGACACGGUCCAAACUCCUACGGGAGGCAGCAGUGAGGAAUAUUGGUCAAUGGGCGAGAGCCUGAACCAGCCAAGUAGCGUGCAGGAAGACGGCCCUAUGGGUUGUAAACUGCUUUUAUAUGGGGAUAAAGUGAGUUACGUGUGGCUUAUUGCAGGUACCAUAUGAAUAAGGACCGGCUAAUUCCGUGCCAGCAGCCGCGGUAAUACGGAAGGUCCAGGCGUUAUCCGGAUUUAUUGGGUUUAAAGGGAGCGUAGGCCGCCCCUUAAGCGUGUUGUGAAAUGCCGCGGCUCAACCGUGGCACUGCAGCGCGAACUGGGGGGCUUGAGUGCACGCAACGCAGGCGGAAUUCGUGGUGUAGCGGUGAAAUGCCUAGAUAUCACGAAGAACUCCGAUUGCGAAGGCAGCUUGCGGGAGUGCGACUGACGCUGAAGCUCGAAGGUGCGGGUAUCGAACAGGAUUAGAUACCCUGGUAGUCCGCACAGUAAACGAUGGAUGCCCGCUGUGUGCCUUCAUGGUACGCGGCCAAGCGAAAGCGUUAAGCAUCCCACCUGGGGAGUACGCCGGCAACGGUGCAACUCAAAUGAAUUGACGG